This 497-nucleotide ribosomal RNA is filed under the name uncultured bacterium. RNAcentral's name for it is "bacterial SSU rRNA". It matches the Rfam family "Bacterial small subunit ribosomal RNA", at positions 16 to 507 of the family's 1533-position model. The record is from RNAcentral.
AUCAUGGCUCAGAUUGAACGCUGGCGGCAUGCCUUACACAUGCAAGUCGAACGGCAGCACGGGUGCUUGCACCUGGUGGCGAGUGGCGAACGGGUGAGUAAUACAUCGGAACGUACCUUAUCGUGGGGGAUAACGCAGCGAAAGCUGUGCUAAUACCGCAUACGCCCUGAGGGGGAAAGCGGGGGAUCGAAAGACCUCGCGCGAUUAGAGCGGCCGAUGCCUGAUUAGCUUGUUGGUGGGGUAAAAGCCCACCAAGGCGACGAUCAGUAGCUGGUCUGAGAGGACGAUCAGCCACACUGGGACUGAGACACGGCCCAGACUCCUACGGGAGGCAGCAGUGGGGAAUUUUGGACAAUGGGGGAAACCCUGAUCCAGCAAUGCCGCGUGAGUGAAGAAGGCCUUCGGGUUGUAAAGCUCUUUUGUCAGGGAAGAAACACCGGCUCUAACACAGUCCGGGAAUGACGGUACCUGAAGAAUAAGCACCGGCUAACUACGUG